AGAGUUUGAUCCUGGCUCAGAUUGAACGCUGGCGGCAGGCCUAACACAUGCAAGUCGAGCGGUAGAGAGGUGCUUGCAUCUCUUGAGAGCGGCGGACGGGUGAGUAAUGCCUAGGAAUCUGCCUAGUGGUGGGGGAUAACGUUCGGAAACGGACGCUAAUACCGCAUACGUCCUACGGGAGAAAGCGGGGGAUCUUCGGACCUCGCGCCAUUAGAUGAGCCUAGGUCGGAUUAGCUAGUUGGUGAGGUAAUGGCUCACCAAGGCGACGAUCCGUAACUGGUCUGAGAGGAUGAUCAGUCACACUGGAACUGAGACACGGUCCAGACUCCUACGGGAGGCAGCAGUGGGGAAUAUUGGACAAUGGGCGAAAGCCUGAUCCAGCCAUGCCGCGUGUGUGAAGAAGGUCUUCGGAUUGUAAAGCACUUUAAGUUGGGAGGAAGGGUAGUAACCUAAUACGUUGCUACUUUGACGUUACCGACAGAAUAAGCACCGGCUAACUUCGUGCCAGCAGCCGCGGUAAUACGAAGGGUGCAAGCGUUAAUCGGAAUUACUGGGCGUAAAGCGCGCGUAGGUGGUUCAGCAAGUUGGAUGUGAAAGCCCUGGGCUCAACCUGGGAACUGCAUCCAAAACUACUGAGCUAGAGUACGGUAGAGGGUAGUGGAAUUUCCUGUGUAGCGGUGAAAUGCGUAGAUAUAGGAAGGAACACCAGUGGCGAAGGCGACUACCUGGACUGAUACUGACACUGAGGUGCGAAAGCGUGGGGAGCAAACAGGAUUAGAUACCCUGGUAGUCCACGCCGU
Molecule: ribosomal RNA, 800 nt
Filed under: uncultured bacterium
Lineage: Bacteria
Description: bacterial SSU rRNA
Rfam family: Bacterial small subunit ribosomal RNA
Source: RNAcentral